Molecule: ribosomal RNA, 594 nt
Filed under: Salmonella enterica subsp. enterica serovar Typhimurium
Lineage: Bacteria; Pseudomonadati; Pseudomonadota; Gammaproteobacteria; Enterobacterales; Enterobacteriaceae
Also listed under: 2 other names
Description: partial 23S ribosomal RNA
Rfam family: Bacterial large subunit ribosomal RNA
Source: RNAcentral
AUCAGGAGGUUAGUGCAAUGGCAUAAGCCAGCUUGACUGCGAGCGUGACGGCGCGAGCAGGUGCGAAAGCAGGUCAUAGUGAUCCGGUGGUUCUGAAUGGAAGGGCCAUCGCUCAACGGAUAAAAGGUACUCCGGGGAUAACAGGCUGAUACCGCCCAAGAGUUCAUAUCGACGGCGGUGUUUGGCACCUCGAUGUCGGCUCAUCACAUCCUGGGGCUGAAGUAGGUCCCAAGGGUAUGGCUGUUCGCCAUUUAAAGUGGUACGCGAGCUGGGUUUAGAACGUCGUGAGACAGUUCGGUCCCUAUCUGCCGUGGGCGCUGGAGAACUGAGGGGGGCUGCUCCUAGUACGAGAGGACCGGAGUGGACGCAUCACUGGUGUUCGGGUUGUCAUGCCAAUGGCACUGCCCGGUAGCUAAAUGCGGAAGAGAUAAGUGCUGAAAGCAUCUAAGCACGAAACUUGCCCCGAGAUGAGUUCUCCCUGAGACUUAGAGUCUCCUGAAGGAACGUUGAAGACGACGACGUUGAUAGGCCGGGUGUGUAAGCGCAGCGAUGCGUUGAGCUAACCGGUACUAAUGAACCGUGAGGCUUAACCUU